CCAAGUUCUUUGGAACAGGACGUCACAGAGGGUGAGAAUCCCGUACGUGGUCGCUAGCCCUCACCGUGUAAAGCCCCUUCGACGAGUCGAGUUGUUUGGGAAUGCAGCUCUAAAUGGGAGGUAAAUUUCUUCUAAAGCUAAAUACUGGCCAGAGACCGAUAGCGCACAAGUAGAGUGAUCGAAAGAUGAAAAGCACUUUGGAAAGAGAGUCAAAUAGCACGUGAAAUUGUUGAAAGGGAAGCGCUUGNAGCCAGACUUGCCUGUAGUUGCUUAUCCGGACUUUUGUCCG
RNAcentral lists this ribosomal RNA (289 nucleotides) under soil fungal sp. DM051. RNAcentral describes it as "partial 28S rRNA". It matches the Rfam family "Eukaryotic large subunit ribosomal RNA", at positions 181 to 467 of the family's 3401-position model. The record is from RNAcentral. Lineage: Eukaryota; Fungi.